Molecule: small nuclear RNA, 323 nt
Filed under: Numida meleagris (helmeted guineafowl)
Lineage: Eukaryota; Metazoa; Chordata; Aves; Galliformes; Numididae
Description: 7SK RNA (ENSNMEG00000009864.1)
Rfam family: 7SK RNA
About the family: 7SK was discovered as an abundant small nuclear RNA in the mid-70s but a possible function has only recently been suggested. Two independent studies have found that 7SK RNA binds the CDK9/cyclin T complex (known as elongation factor P-TEFb). P-TEFb activates transcription by phosphorylating the C-terminal domain of RNA polymerase II.
Source: RNAcentral
GGAUGCAAGGGCGAUCUGGCUGUGACAUCUGUCACCCCAUUGAUCACCAGGGUUGAUUCAGCUGAUCUCACUGGCUAGGUGGGUGUCCCCUUCCUCCCUCACCACUCCACGUAUGUCCCUCCUGAAGCUAUGCACUCGGUCAAAGAGGAUGACCUUCCCUGAUAAAGACAGUACUGUUUAUUUGUCAAAGGUACAUGGUACCUGUGCUCCGCUGCUAGAACCUCCAAAAGAGGUCAAGGUCCAUUUGUAGGAGAACGUAGGGUAGUCAAGCUUCCAAGACAGUAGACAUGUGAGGCACUGCAUGGGGCAGUCUGCCAUUGUAA